This 600-nucleotide long non-coding RNA is filed under the name Nicotiana benthamiana. RNAcentral describes it as "long non-coding RNA (NBEN_LNC015333)". The record is from RNAcentral. Lineage: Eukaryota; Viridiplantae; Streptophyta; Magnoliopsida; Solanales; Solanaceae.
ACAAUCUAGAUUUUAUUUCCUUAACUCGACCAAUAUACAUAGAUUCAAUUCUUCAACAUCAAAGGAAACUAGAAACAUACUUGGAAAUGAACUGAAAUAAGUAGGAAAGAAGGUCAGUUGUAGCAACAAGGCAAUAACGAGCAGCAAUGGAAUUCCAGUGAUAUAGAACAUUAGAAUAGCCCAGAAAAGUAUUAAAGAAGCAAAUAGAACCAAUAGAUCUACUCAAAUCAGCAUCAAACACCCCGGAAUAAAUCAGGAAGACAAUACAAUCGACGGGUUAAACCAAAACAGCUUCAAGUAACCCAAAUGAAUUUAAUAUCGACCCAAAUAGAAAAUCUUAGUAGAUUUGUAUCCUAAUUAAGCUAGAAGACUGGAUUAAAUACUAGAAUUGAAGAUGAACUGAAGAAAACUCAUGGAGCAGUAGACCUUUUUUUGUUUUUUAGAGUUUUGUUUUUGUAUGUUUGGUUUUUGAAUCUAAGGAGAGCUAAAACCUAAAAUUUCUGAACUGAAAUUGAGCUUCAAAUCAGGAAAAAUGAGCAGUCUACUUGAGAAAUUUUUGGCUGAAGAAAGAAUACCCUUUUACAAGGCAUCUAAUGUCCU